RNAcentral lists this ribosomal RNA (1346 nucleotides) under uncultured bacterium. RNAcentral describes it as "partial 16S ribosomal RNA". It matches the Rfam family "Bacterial small subunit ribosomal RNA", at positions 28 to 1381 of the family's 1533-position model. The record is from RNAcentral.
GACGAACGCUGGCGGCGUGCUUAACACAUGCAAGUCGAACGGAAAGGCCCUGCUUUUGUGGGGUGCUCGAGUGGCGAACGGGUGAGUAACACGUGAGUAACCUGCCCUUGACUUUGGGAUAACUUCAGGAAACUGGGGCUAAUACCGGAUAGGAGCUCCUGCUGCAUGGUGGGGGUUGGAAAGUUUCGGCGGUUGGGGAUGGACUCGCGGCUUAUCAGCUUGUUGGUGGGGUAGUGGCUUACCAAGGCUUUGACGGGUAGCCGGCCUGAGAGGGUGACCGGCCACGUUGGGACUGAGAUACGGCCCAGACUCCUACGGGAGGCAGCAGUGGGGAAUAUUGCACAAUGGGCGGAAGCCUGAUGCAGCAACGCCGCGUGCGGGAUGACGGCCUUCGGGUUGUAAACCGCUUUCGCCUGUGACGAAGCGUGAGUGACGGUAAUGGGUAAAGAAGCACCGGCUAACUACGUGCCAGCAGCCGCGGUGAUACGUAGGGUGCGAGCGUUGUCCGGAUUUAUUGGGCGUAAAGGGCUCGUAGGUGGUUGAUCGCGUCGGAAGUGUAAUCUUGGGGCUUAACCCUGAGCGUGCUUUCGAUACGGGUUGACUUGAGGAAGGUAGGGGAGAAUGGAAUUCCUGGUGGAGCGGUGGAAUGCGCAGAUAUCAGGAGGAACACCAGUGGCGAAGGCGGUUCUCUGGGCCUUUCCUGACGCUGAGGAGCGAAAGCGUGGGGAGCGAACAGGCUUAGAUACCCUGGUAGUCCACGCUGUAAACGGUGGGUACUAAGUGUGGGGUCCAUUCCACGGGUUCCGUGCCGUAGCUAACGCUUUAAGUACCCCGCCUGGGGAGUACGGCCGCAAGGCUAAAACUCAAAGGAAUUGACGGGGCCCCGCACAAGCGGCGGAGCAUGCGGAUUAAUUCGAUGCAACGCGUAGAACCUUACCUGGGUUUGACAUGGAUCGGGAGUGCUCAGAGAUGGGUGUGCCUCUUUUGGGGUCGGUUCACAGGUGGUGCAUGGCUGUCGUCAGCUCGUGUCGUGAGAUGUUGGGUUAAGUCCCGCAACGAGCGCAACCCUUGUUCACUGUUGCCAGCACGUUAUGGUGGGGACUCAGUGGAGACCGCCGGGGUCAACUCGGAGGAAGGUGGGGAUGACGUCAAGUCAUCAUGCCCCUUAUGUCCAGGGCUUCACGCAUGCUACAAUGGCUGGUACAGAGAGUGGCGAGCCUGUGAGGGUGAGCGAAUCUCGGAAAGCCGGUCUCAGUUCGGAUUGGGGUCUGCAACUCGACCUCAUGAAGUCGGAGUCGCUAGUAAUCGCAGAUCAGCAACGCUGCGGUGAAUACGUUCCCGGGGCU